UACAGAGGUCUCAAGCGUUGUUCGGAUUCAUUGGGCGUAAAGGGUGCGUAGGUGGUGCCCUAAGUCUGUUGUGAAAUCUCCCGGCUUAACUGGGAGGGUGCGGUGGAAACUGGGGUGCUUGAGUGUGGGAGAGGUAAGCGGAAUUCCUGGUGUAGCGGUGAAAUGCGUAGAUAUCAGGAGGAACACCGGUGGUGUAGACGGCUUACUGGACCACGACUGACACUGAGGCACGAAAGCGUGGGUAGCAAACAGG
RNAcentral lists this ribosomal RNA (253 nucleotides) under uncultured bacterium. RNAcentral describes it as "partial 16S ribosomal RNA". It matches the Rfam family "Bacterial small subunit ribosomal RNA", at positions 524 to 776 of the family's 1533-position model. The record is from RNAcentral.